RNAcentral lists this ribosomal RNA (460 nucleotides) under uncultured bacterium. RNAcentral's name for it is "partial 16S ribosomal RNA". It matches the Rfam family "Bacterial small subunit ribosomal RNA", at positions 338 to 795 of the family's 1533-position model. The record is from RNAcentral.
CCUACGGGUGGCAGCAGUGAGGAAUAUUGGUCAAUGGGCGCAAGCCUGAACCAGCCAAGUCGCGUGAGGGAAGACUGCCCUAUGGGUUGUAAACCUCUUUUAUAGGGGAGUAAAGUGCAGUAUGUAUACUGCUUUGCAUGUACCUUAUGAAUCAGGAUCGGCUAACUCCGUGCCAGCAGCCGCGGUAAUACGGAGGAUUCGAGCGUUAUCCGGAUUUAUUGGGUUUAAAGGGAGCGGAGGCGGGGUGGUAAGUCAGGUGUGAAAGUUGGCGGCUCAACCGUAGUAUUGCAGUGGAAACGGGGAUCCUUGAGUACAGUAGAGGUAGGCGGAAUUCGUGGGGUAGCGGUGAAAUGCGUAGAUAUCACGAAGAACUCCGAUGGCGAAAGCAGCCUGCUGGACUGUAACUGACGCUGAUGUUCGAAAGUGUGGGUAUCAAACAGGAUUAGAUACCCGAGUAGUC